Molecule: ribosomal RNA, 490 nt
Filed under: uncultured bacterium
Lineage: Bacteria
Description: partial 16S ribosomal RNA
Rfam family: Bacterial small subunit ribosomal RNA
Source: RNAcentral
AUUGAACGCUGGCGGCAGGCCUAACACAUGCAAGUCGAACGGUAACAGGGAUCAGCUUGCUGAUUCGCUGACGAGUGGCGGACGGGUGUGUAAUGUCUGGGAAACUGCCUGAUGGAGGGGGAUAACUACUGGAAACGGUAGCUAAUACCGCAUAACGUCGCAAGACCAAAGAGGGGGACCUUCGGGCCUCUUGCCAUCGGAUGUGCCCAGAUGGGAUUAGCUAGUAGGUGGGGUAACGGCUCACCUAGGCGACGAUCCCUAGCUGGUCUGAGAGGAUGACCAGCCACACUGGAACUGAGACACGGUCCAGACUCCUACGGGAGGCAGCAGUGGGGAAUAUUGCACAAUGGGCGCAAGCCUGAUGCAGCCAUGCCGCGUGUAUGAAGAAGGCCUUCGGGUUGUAAAGUACUUUCAGCGGGGAGGAAGGGAGUAAAGUUAAUACCUUUGCUCAUUGACGUUACCCGCAGAAGAAGCACCGGCUAACUCCGUG